CGAGCGCAACCCUUGUCAUUAGUUGCCAUCAUUGGUUGGGCACUCUAAUGAGACUGCCGGUGACAAACCGGAGGAAAGUGGGGAUGACGUCAAGUCCUCAUGGCCCUUAUGGGUAGGGCUUCACACGUCAUACAAUGGUCGGUACAGAGGGUUGCCAACCCGCGAGGGGGAGCUAAUCCCACAAAGCCGAUCGUAGUCCGGAUCGCAGUCUGCAACUCGACUGCGUGAAGUCGGAAUCGCUAGUAAUCGUGGAUCAGCAUGUCACGGUGAAUACGUUCCCGGGUCUU
This 287-nucleotide ribosomal RNA is filed under the name uncultured Rhodocyclaceae bacterium. Its description in RNAcentral is "partial 16S ribosomal RNA". It matches the Rfam family "Bacterial small subunit ribosomal RNA", at positions 1093 to 1382 of the family's 1533-position model. Lineage: Bacteria; Pseudomonadati; Pseudomonadota; Betaproteobacteria; Rhodocyclales; Rhodocyclaceae. The record is from RNAcentral.